This 430-nucleotide long non-coding RNA is filed under the name Bos taurus (domestic cattle). Its description in RNAcentral is "long non-coding RNA NONBTAT025188". Lineage: Eukaryota; Metazoa; Chordata; Mammalia; Artiodactyla; Bovidae. The record is from RNAcentral.
GUAUUCACCAUACAUGUAAAAAUAAGAUGGAAAGGACCCAUCUUGUUUCACCACUUUGUCUUAAAAUUAAUCAGAUAAUUUUCAGGAGAGGCAAAUUUUUGGUUCUCACAAGAACUAGAUAAAUAUUAGAGGUUGUGAACUUUUUAAGAAAUUAGUAUUUCUGACAUUUGGCUGCUUUUGAUCUACUAUUUUUCACUUGAUCAUCAGUAAAUUCAGUUUCUCCAAAUGUCCAGGAAAAAGGUUGCCAGAAAGAAAUGUAUGGUGCUCAUGUUCUAAAAGUCUGUGUAGACAAGCGAGAUGUUAUUCAAAACCAAGAUGAUCCAUUCAAGUUUCCUAGAGCAUUUAAAUAGCAAAACAAUGGCCUUCAAAACCAUUUUGGCAUAUAUUUAUGAGAUUAAAUAUAAGAAAACCAUUACAAAGUUUGGGCUCA